RNAcentral lists this ribosomal RNA (301 nucleotides) under uncultured bacterium. Its description in RNAcentral is "partial 16S ribosomal RNA". It matches the Rfam family "Bacterial small subunit ribosomal RNA", at positions 509 to 807 of the family's 1533-position model. The record is from RNAcentral.
CAGCCGCCGCGGUAAAACGUAGGUGGCAAGCGUUGUCCGGAAUUAUUGGGCGUAAAGGGCUCGCAGGCGGUUUCUUAAGUCUGAUGUGAAAGCCCCCGGCUCAACCGGGGAGGGUCAUUGGAAACUGGGAAACUUGAGUGCAGAAGAGGAGAGUGGAAUUCCACGUGUAGCGGUGAAAUGCGUAGAGAUGUGGAGGAACACCAGUGGCGAAGGCGACUCUCUGGUCUGUAGCUGACGCUGAGGAGCGAAAGCGUGGGGAGCGAACAGGAUUAGAUACCCCCGUAGUCCCUGUCUCUUAUAC